Molecule: ribosomal RNA, 327 nt
Filed under: uncultured eukaryote
Lineage: Eukaryota
Description: partial 18S ribosomal RNA
Rfam family: Eukaryotic small subunit ribosomal RNA
Source: RNAcentral
CCCUUAGAUGUUCUGGGCCGCACGCGCGCUACACUGACGAAUGCAACGAGCUUAUAACCUUGGCCGAAAGGUCUGGGUAAUCUCCAAAUUUCGUCGUGAUGGGGAUAGAUUAUUGCAAUUAUUAAUCUUCAACGAGGAAUGCCUAGUAAGCGCAAGUCAUCAGCUUGCGUUGAUUACGUCCCUGCCCUUUGUACACACCGCCCGUCGCUCCUACCGAUUGAAUGGUCCGGUGAAGCGCUCGGACCGCGGCCUCUUGACGGUUUUCCGUCGAUUGGCUGUGGGAAGUUCGUUAAACCUUNUNAUUUACNGGAAGGAGAANUCGUANCA